RNAcentral lists this ribosomal RNA (778 nucleotides) under uncultured Enterobacteriaceae bacterium. RNAcentral's name for it is "bacterial SSU rRNA". It matches the Rfam family "Bacterial small subunit ribosomal RNA", at positions 734 to 1515 of the family's 1533-position model. The record is from RNAcentral. Lineage: Bacteria; Pseudomonadati; Pseudomonadota; Gammaproteobacteria; Enterobacterales; Enterobacteriaceae.
ACAGUACUGACGCUGAGAUGCGAAAGCGUGGGGAGCAAACAGGAUUAGAUACCUGGUAGUCACGCUGUAAACGAUGUCGAUUUGGAGUUUGGGGGCAUGUCCCUUGGGCUCCGGAGCUAACGCGUUAAAUCGACCGCUGGGGAGUACGGCCGCAAGGUUAAAACUCAAAUGAAUUGACGGGGGCCCGCACAAGCGGUGGAGCAUGUGGUUUAAUUCGAUGCAACGCGAAGAACCUUACCUGGUCUUGACAUCCAUAGAAUCUUUCAGAGAUGAGAGAGUGCCUUCGGGAGCUAUGAGACAGGUGCUGCAUGGCUGUCGUCAGCUCGUGUUGUGAAAUGUUGGGUUAAGUCCCGCAACGAGCGCAACCCUUAUCCUUUGUUGCCAGCGGUUCGGCCGGGAACUCAAAGGAGACUGCCGUUGAUAAAGCGGAGGAAGGUGGGGACGACGUCAAGUCAUCAUGGCCCUUACGACCAGGGCUACACACGUGCUACAAUGGCGUAUACAAAGGGAAGCGAAGGAGCGAUCUGGAGCGGACCUCCUAAAGUACGUCUAAGUCCGGAUUGGAGUCUGCAACUCGACUCCAUGAAGUCGGAAUCGCUAGUAAUCGUGAAUCAGAAUGUCACGGUGAAUACGUUCCCGGGCCUUGUACACACCGCCCGUCACACCAUGGGAGUGGGUUGCACCAGAAGUAGAUAGCUUAACCGAAAGGGGGGCGUUUACCACGGUGUGAUUCAUGACUGGGGUGAAGUCGUAACAAGGUAACCAAGGGCGAAUUCUG